GAUGAACGCUGGCGGCGUGCCUAAUACAUGCAAGUCGAGCGAAAAGAUCCGGAUCUUGCUCCUUUGUCGUUAGCCGCGCACGUGUGAAAAACACGUGUAUAAUCUACUUAUCAUUCUGAUAUCACUUCGGGAAACCGGCGCAAAUACCGUAUAAUAUAUUGCAGCGCAGUGUUCAUUGGUGAAAGACGGCUUUUGUGUCUCUACUCGCUGCUUCCGCGCCGCAGUAGCUAGUUGGUAAGGUAACAGCUUACCAAGGCGACGAUGCGUAGCCGAGCUGAGGGGGUGAUAGGCCACACUGGAAGUGAGACAGGGUCCAGACGCCUACGGGAGGGAGCAGUAGGCAAUGGGACGCAAUGGGGGAAAGCCUGGCGGAGCAACGCCGCGUGAGUGAUGGAGGUCUUCGGAGCGUAAAGCUCUGUUAUUGGGGAAGAACAGAUGUGUAAGGUACUAUGGAGGUCUUGACGGUACCUAAUCAAAAAGCACCGGCUAACUACGUG
This 497-nucleotide ribosomal RNA is filed under the name uncultured bacterium. Its description in RNAcentral is "partial 16S ribosomal RNA". It matches the Rfam family "Bacterial small subunit ribosomal RNA", at positions 28 to 507 of the family's 1533-position model. The record is from RNAcentral.